GCUGGGCAUGGUGGUGCAUGCCUGUAGUCCCAGCUACUUGGGAGGCUGAGGCAGAAGAAUCACUUGAACCCAGGAGGUGAGGUUGCAGUGAGCUGAGAUUGUGUCACUGCAUUCCAGCCUGGGUGACAGAGUGAGACUCUGUCUAAA
This 147-nucleotide small RNA is filed under the name Pongo abelii (Sumatran orangutan). RNAcentral's name for it is "Metazoan signal recognition particle RNA (ENSPPYG00000032157.1)". Lineage: Eukaryota; Metazoa; Chordata; Mammalia; Primates; Hominidae. The record is from Rfam by way of RNAcentral.